Molecule: ribosomal RNA, 491 nt
Filed under: uncultured bacterium
Lineage: Bacteria
Description: partial 16S ribosomal RNA
Rfam family: Bacterial small subunit ribosomal RNA
Source: RNAcentral
GUGAACGCUGGCGGUAGGCCUAACACAUGCAAGUCGAACGGCAGCACAGUAAGAGCUUGCUCUUACGGGUGGCGAGUGGCGGACGGGUGAGGAAUACAUCGGAAUCUACUUUUUCGUGGGGGAUAACGUAGGGAAACUUACGCUAAUACCGCAUACGACCUACGGGUGAAAGCAGGGGAUCUUCGGACCUUGCGCGAUUGAAUGAGCCGAUGUCGGAUUAGCUAGUUGGCGGGGUAAAGGCCCACCAAGGCGACGAUCCGUAGCUGGUCUGAGAGGGUGAUCAGCCACACUGGAACUGAGACACGGUCCAGACUCCUACGGGAGGCAGCAGUGGGGAAUAUUGGACAAAGGGCGCAAGCCUGAUCCAGCCAUACCGCGUGGGUGAAGAAGGCCUUCGGGUUGUAAAGCCCUUUUGUUGGGAAAGAAAAGCAGCAGGUUAAUACCCCGCUGUUCUGACGGUACCCAAAGAAUAAGCACCGGCUAACUUCGUG